This is a long non-coding RNA of Choloepus didactylus (southern two-toed sloth), 2676 nucleotides long. RefSeq lists it as uncharacterized. The record is from RefSeq and is a predicted model, not a curated record. The transcript has 5 exons. NCBI's taxonomy places the organism in Eukaryota, Metazoa, Chordata, Mammalia, Pilosa, Megalonychidae.
AGGGAAAGAAGAAUUCCCUGAAACCCAGGUUUUCUGGGAGAGAAAGGAAAACAACGAUGACUGAGUGCUUGCUAUGUGUCAGGCACAGUUCUGGUUACUUUAUUUUGAUUUGAACUUACCACAAUCCUCUGAUGGGAACAAUACUGUUCUAACCAUUUACAGAUGAGAAUACUGAGGCACGCAGGUGUGUGUGUGUGUAAAUGAUUUGCCCAGUGUUACCCAGCUAAUGAGAGGCAGGGCAGAGACAGGAUCCCAGGCAGUCUGGCCCCAGAGACUGUGCCCUCCCCAAGGAAGGCUUGUAAUAGUUACCUGCUCCAUGAAGAGACUCAAGGACGUCUUGUAGAGCCUCCAACACAGUGUCAUGGCAACCAUAGAAAGCUCCCCUGACAUUAACAUUGAGAUUCUUACUCAUUCAUCUUCUUUUCUUUAGAUGGAGACAAUGUUUUAAUAAAACAUGUUUAUAAAAUCAGGAAUGACCUUAGACUCCAACUUAUAACUACCAUUACAAUUUACAGUUGUUUACUGCAGGAGAACUUUCAGACACCUUUUCUCUUUAUUUUUGCUCUUUUCUUUAGAUUGAGUAACGAAACUAGACAGGUCAUUGUUAUAAAAACCAGUAACAGUUACUGGUUCUUGGAGUUGUCAAGGAUGCAUUUUCUUUGCAUUUUCAGCACUAUUCCACUGUAUCAAAAUGCAAAGACUAGGCUUUACCAUGACAUAUUCAGGCUUGGUUAAUUGUUUGGUUAAUUUUUAAAACAAAAUUUCUCUUUUGAGGAGAUUGUGUGAUACUCUUUUAUCCCCAAAUGAAAAUGUGGGCUCUGACUCUACCUGAUGUGCCUUUGGAUCUCUCUUUCAGAAACACCUACAUUGGAAUGUCAUCAACAGUGGCAAUAUCACAUGUGAUGCAUUUGCAGAAGCACAAAAUGCAGACCUGGAGAUUAUUACCACAUUUUCAAGAAAUGGGGUUGAUAAUUGUUAACAAUAUAGAAGCUGAAUUUAAAAUGUGAUGACUUGAUCAAAGGACUUUUUUACUGACAUUCAACAUAACCUCCAAAUUAACACUGCCUUGCUAAUAUUUGCAGGGUAUUCAUAACUUCUCAACUAAACUCCUCCCUUCAUUGGGAAAAAGAAAGUCACCAUAUCAAUGGUUUUUAGGUUUGUAGAUGUCUUUUUGAGAAGACCUGUCAGAAAAUCAGAUUAAAAUAACAAAAAUAUUGUAUAAUGUAUAUGUUGUAUUACCAGAGAAAAAUAGCUUCUCUACAAGAAAAGUAUUUCGGGAACAUCUUUAAUUAGUCCUUGGAAUUGAUUUAUUUUAUUUUAUUUUUUUUUGGUGUUGUUUAAUUUUCUGCUCCUGUCACAAAAUAUCUGUCAUAUUGGAUCAGGUUAUUUGAUCUUCAUAUCCUAUUUCCUCUUUCCUCCUAACACUGGUGAGCAUGGGCAAACACUUUUUAAUUAUCCUGAUCAAGUGUGGGGGACAUUCUUUUGCUGACCCUACUUGUAAUCAACUGUGAUCUCUGAGAAGCAGGCGAAUUGAUUGCUUCUCUUCUCCCCAACUACCCAGAAGAGAGGAUCAUACAUUAUCCGGCCCCUUUGAAAAUUCCAGCUCAGUGAUUGAUUUUAUGACUGCCUGGGGCAGCAAAUUCCUCAGCAUGAAUUCUACCAGCCCAGACUUAGUAAUUCUAACUUGAAAUCGCUCCUCAUGAGUGAAUCUGCACCGUAUUCCUUUCCUGUCCUGCUCUGAAACUCUGCCACGCCUGAAAUACAUUUCUUAAGGGACCUGAGCGUAUGAUUCGUGCAGCUCAAGGAGGAUAGGUGGGAGCAGUGGAAGCUACUGUUCUGGUAAACUGGCAAAGAAGCUCAUCUGGUGCAGAGACUUUUCUUUCAGGGCACUCCUCUCAGCAUUAGGCAGCACACGCAACGUAGAGGUCAUAGAAACCGCUUUUCCAGGUUUAAAAAUAUCCCAAAUGGGGUGGAGUCAAUUCAGAAUAGCAAUGAUGACAACAAUAAUGCAAGAACAACCUAAACUAAGCACUCAUUAUGUCAGAUUCUGUGUCAAGCAAUCAGCAUCUAUUAUUUUACAUAAUCCUUAUAGCAGCUGAAAGAGGACUGAUGGGCCAGACCCUCUUAAAACCCAGCUUGUGGCCAUCUUUCUGGGCACUCCACCAGAUCCAAGUAUCCUACAGCUCAACUUUUCAAACCUACCUUGUUUGUAAUUCCUAGGCAGGACUCUGAGCUCUGCUGUCAUAUUUCAGUUUUAGUUAUUCAAAAAUAUUUUGAUCCAAAUGUGCUCUGUCAAACUUUAUUAACCUGAUAUGGCUCAUUUUAGUGCAUGCCUGUUCUUGAGCCAUAUGGCCUGCAGAAGUUACCAGGUUUCCUUGUUUAUCCUUACUUUAAAAAAAAUUCCAUAUGCUGUCACCUCAUGACACAACCCUGUCUAUGCAGUUGAAAUGAGAAAACUAGCUAUCUGAUCUCACGGAGACCACUCAGCUGGUAGAUGCACUCAAUGUUUUUUCCAUUUCCAUGGGUGUGUUGGCAUUGUGGGAAGCCAUAGAUUGCUAAUCAAGAAUUCACAGGAGAGAAUGUGGUUUUUGUUUGUUAAAUUCUAAAAAAUAAACUCAACAGAAUAAAAUACAGCUACAGUGCAUUUAUUUUUCAUUGUUAACACAUAUCUUUAUG